UAUCUCUGUAGAGUCUGCAUAUCAAUAAGCGGAGGAAAAGAAACUAACUAAGGAUUCCCUCAGUAACGGCGAGUGAAGCGGGAAGAGCUCAAAUUUGAAAUCUUCAAGGUUUUACCUUGACGAAUUGUAGUUUAAAGAAGUGUUUUCUGUUGGAGUUUUGGUAAAAGUUCUUUGGAAUAGGACAUCAUAGAGGGUGAGAAUCCCGUAUUUGACCAUUAUUUCCAGCUUUGUGAUACACUUUCAAAGAGUCGGAUUGUUUGGGUAUGCAGUCCAAAAUGGGUGGUAAAUUUCAUCUAAAGCUAAAUACUUGGCGAGAGACCGAUAGCGAACAAGUACCGUGAGGGAAAGAUGAAAAGAACUUUGAAAAGAGAGUUAAACAGUACGUGAAAUUGUCAAAAGGGAAGCGUUUGACACCAGUGUUGUUUCUACGAAAAUCAAUUUAUGAUGGCUUGAUGCUAAGCUUUAAGACUUUAUCCGCUUGUUGUUUAGUUUUCUUGUCUUUGUGAAUGCACUUUUCGUGGAACAAGUCAACAUCAAUUUCUUUUGCUGUAAAAGGGUAAGAGGAAGGUGGCUUCGGCUUCGGUUGAAGUGUUUAUAGCCUUUUAUCUCUGCAGUCGGAGAGAUUGAGGUCUGCAGCGUAGACUCUUCGGGGUUAGAUACGUCGGUGCUAAGCUAUAGCUUUUCAUAGACAACUUGUUGACUAUGUUUAGUCAUGUGGCUUACCCGCUGGCGCUAUUUUACCUACGCUUAGGAUGUUGAGUCAUCACACAUCUCU
This 775-nucleotide ribosomal RNA is filed under the name uncultured Neocallimastigales. Its description in RNAcentral is "partial large subunit ribosomal RNA". It matches the Rfam family "Eukaryotic large subunit ribosomal RNA", at positions 24 to 618 of the family's 3401-position model. The record is from RNAcentral. Lineage: Eukaryota; Fungi; Neocallimastigomycota; Neocallimastigomycetes; Neocallimastigales.